RNAcentral lists this transfer RNA (73 nucleotides) under Stegodyphus mimosarum. It matches the Rfam family "tRNA". Rfam says of the family: Transfer RNA (tRNA) molecules are approximately 80 nucleotides in length. Their secondary structure includes four short double-helical elements and three loops (D, anti-codon, and T loops). The record is from Rfam by way of RNAcentral. Lineage: Eukaryota; Metazoa; Arthropoda; Arachnida; Araneae; Eresidae.
GCCUUCGUGGUGUAGUGGUUAACACGUUCGGUGCAUAUCCAAGAGGUCCGAGGUUCGAGUCCCGGUGAGGGCA